UACGUAGGGGGCGAGCGUUAUCCGGAUUUACUGGGUGUAAAGGGAGCGUAGACGGUUCUGCAAGUCUGAAGUGAAAGCCCGUGGCUUAACCGCGGAACGGCUUUGGAAACUGUGGAACUGGAGUGCUGGAGAGGCAAGCGGAAUUCCUAGUGUAGCGGUGAAAUGCGUAGAUAUUAGGAGGAACACCAGUGGCGAAGGCGGCUUGCUGGACAGUAACUGACGUUGAGGCU
Molecule: ribosomal RNA, 230 nt
Filed under: uncultured microorganism
Description: partial 16S ribosomal RNA
Rfam family: Bacterial small subunit ribosomal RNA
Source: RNAcentral